Molecule: ribosomal RNA, 354 nt
Filed under: Vibrio alginolyticus
Lineage: Bacteria; Pseudomonadati; Pseudomonadota; Gammaproteobacteria; Vibrionales; Vibrionaceae
Also listed under: 6 other names
Description: partial 23S ribosomal RNA
Rfam family: Bacterial large subunit ribosomal RNA
Source: RNAcentral
CUGUUCGCCAUUUAAAGUGGUACGCGAGCUGGGUUUAGAACGUCGUGAGACAGUUCGGUCCCUAUCUGCCGUGGGCGUUGGAGAAUUGAAAGGGGCUGCUCCUAGUACGAGAGGACCGGAGUGGACGAACCUCUGGUGUUCGGGUUGUGUCGCCAGACGCAUUGCCCGGUAGCUAAGUUCGGGAUCGAUAACCGCUGAAAGCAUCUAAGCGGGAAGCGAGCCUUGAGAUGAGUUCUCCCUGAUACUUUAAGUAUCCUAAAGGGUUGUCGUAGACUACGACGUUGAUAGGCAGGGUGUGUAAGCGUUGUGAGGCGUUGAGCUAACCUGUACUAAUUGCCCGUGAGGCUUAACCAU